GUCCUUUUGUAUUUAUUUAAGGUCUAGUCUGCCCACUGAGUUUAAAUUUUAAAUGGCCGCAGUAUUUUGACUGUGCAAAGGUAGCAUAAUCAUUAGUUUUUUAAUUAAAAGCUUGUAUGAAAGGCUGGACGAGGUAAAAUCUGUCUCUAUUUAAAUUAUAAUAGAAUUUAACUUUUAAGUUAAAAGGCUUAAAUAUUAUUAAAAGACGAGAAGACCCUAUAGAUCUUUAUAAUUUAUUAAUUAAAAUUAAUUUAGAAUUAUUUAUAUUUUAUUUAAUUAAAUUAUUUUAUUGGGGUAAUAUAAAGAUUGAGUUAAUUCUUUUUUAUAAUAAACAUUAAUUUAUGAAUAUUAGAUGAUCCAGUUUUACUGAUUAUAAGAUUAAGUUACCUUAGGGAUAACAGCGUAAUUUUUUUAGAGAGUUCAUAUCGAUAAAAAAGUUUGCGACCUCGAUGUUGGAUUAAAGAUUAUUUUAGGUGUAGGAGCUUAAUAAUUUUGGUCUGUUCGACCAUUAAAUCUUUAC
Molecule: ribosomal RNA, 520 nt
Filed under: Carabus nanschanicus nocticolor
Lineage: Eukaryota; Metazoa; Arthropoda; Insecta; Coleoptera; Carabidae
Description: partial 16S ribosomal RNA
Rfam family: Bacterial large subunit ribosomal RNA (bases 394-520)
Source: RNAcentral